UACGUAGGGGGCAAGCGUUGUCCGGAAUCAUUGGGCGUAAAGAGCGUGUAGGCGGCCAGAAAAGUCCGCUGUGAAAACUCGAGGCUCAACUUCGAGCUGUCGGUGGAAACUUUCUGGCUAGAGUCCGGAAGAGGAGAAUGGAAUUCCUGGUGUAGCGGUGAAAUGCGCAGAUAUCAGGAAGAACACCCGUGGCGAAGGCGGUUCUCUGGGACGGUACUGACGCUGAGACGCGAAAGCGUGGGGAGUGAACAGG
RNAcentral lists this ribosomal RNA (253 nucleotides) under uncultured bacterium. RNAcentral describes it as "partial 16S ribosomal RNA". It matches the Rfam family "Bacterial small subunit ribosomal RNA", at positions 524 to 776 of the family's 1533-position model. The record is from RNAcentral.